RNAcentral lists this ribosomal RNA (301 nucleotides) under uncultured bacterium. RNAcentral describes it as "partial 16S ribosomal RNA". It matches the Rfam family "Bacterial small subunit ribosomal RNA", at positions 509 to 808 of the family's 1533-position model. The record is from RNAcentral.
CAGCGCCACGGUAAUACGUAGGUCCCGAGCGUUGUCCGGAUUUAUUGGGCGUAAAGGGAGCGCAGGCGGUUUAGUAAGUCUGAAGUUAAAGGCAUUGGCUCAACCAAUGUAUGCUUUGGAAACUGUUAGACUUGAGUGCAGAAGGGGAGAGUGGAAUUCCAUGUGUAGCGGUGAAAUGCGUAGAUAUAUGGAGGAACACCGGUGGCGAAAGCGGCUCUCUGGUCUGUAACUGACGCUGAGGCUCGAAAGCGUGGGGCGCAAACAGGAUUAGAUACCCCGCGUAGUCCCUGUCUCUUAUACC